UUUAAUAAAUAAUAAUAAUAAUAAUAAUAGUGAUAUACACAAAUAAAAUUAAGAAAAAGAAAGAAAAGAAGAAAAAAAAGGAAAGGGGCUCAAUUUAUGCUAGAUUGAGGGAUUUUUUAUUUAAAAAAAAUUAUCACUCCCUGCCCCCUGACACGUGAUAGGGGAGAAAGAGUCAAAGUACAAAAUUUAUUUCUUCUUCAUCUCCCUCGUGUCUAAUACAACAGCAAACAACAACUUUUUUUCUCUAAAAAAAAUUGAAUCUUCC
RNAcentral lists this long non-coding RNA (265 nucleotides) under Lathyrus oleraceus (garden pea). RNAcentral's name for it is "Pisum sativum (pea) long non-coding RNA (PSAT_LNC010671)". Lineage: Eukaryota; Viridiplantae; Streptophyta; Magnoliopsida; Fabales; Fabaceae. The record is from RNAcentral.